UGUGGUGUAUAGCUCAGUGGUAGAGCACUUGCCUAGCAUGCACAAAGCCUCUGGGUUUCAUCCCUAGCACCACAA
This 75-nucleotide transfer RNA is filed under the name Marmota monax (woodchuck). Its description in RNAcentral is "tRNA.Ala". It matches the Rfam family "tRNA". From Rfam's summary of the family: Transfer RNA (tRNA) molecules are approximately 80 nucleotides in length. Their secondary structure includes four short double-helical elements and three loops (D, anti-codon, and T loops). The record is from RNAcentral. Lineage: Eukaryota; Metazoa; Chordata; Mammalia; Rodentia; Sciuridae.